AUUGAACGCUAGCGGGAUGCUUUACACAUGCAAGUCGAACGAGUCGCGGACGUGUGAGUAAUAUAUCGGAACGUGCCCAGUAGCGGGGGAUAACUCCUCGAAAGAGUUGCUAAUACCGCAUACUAAUGGAACCGCCGCUAUCGGAUUAGCUAGGUGGUGGGGUAAAGGUUCACCAAGGCAACGAACCGGAGCUGGUUUGAGAGGGCGACCAGCCACACUGGGACUGAGACACGGCCCAGACUCCUACGGGAGGCAGCAGUGGGGAAUUUUGGACAAUGGGGGAAACCCUGAUCCAGCCAUCCCGCGUGUAUGAGAAGGCCGUCGGGUGGUAAAGUACUUUUGGCAGAGAAGCGGUAUCUGCAGAAUAAGCACCGGCUAACUACGUGCCAGCAGCCGCGGUAAUUC
Molecule: ribosomal RNA, 405 nt
Filed under: uncultured bacterium
Lineage: Bacteria
Description: partial 16S ribosomal RNA
Rfam family: Bacterial small subunit ribosomal RNA
Source: RNAcentral